RNAcentral lists this transfer RNA (76 nucleotides) under Pseudomonadota bacterium. Its description in RNAcentral is "Proteobacteria bacterium (marine metagenome) tRNA-Arg". It matches the Rfam family "tRNA". Rfam says of the family: Transfer RNA (tRNA) molecules are approximately 80 nucleotides in length. Their secondary structure includes four short double-helical elements and three loops (D, anti-codon, and T loops). Lineage: Bacteria; Pseudomonadati; Pseudomonadota. The record is from RNAcentral. RNAcentral also lists the same sequence under 1 other name.
GGGCCGUUAGCUCAGGUGGUAGAGCAGCUGCCUUCUAAGCAGCGGGUCGCAGGUUCAAGUCCUGCACGGCUCACCA